Quercus robur (English oak) is the source of this 1351-nucleotide RNA transcript. It is a transcript of the gene named iron-sulfur cluster co-chaperone protein HscB homolog, with no coding region annotated. The transcript has 8 exons. Lineage: Eukaryota; Viridiplantae; Streptophyta; Magnoliopsida; Fagales; Fagaceae. The record is from RefSeq and is a predicted model, not a curated record.
AGAAACAACCGCUAUACAAAAACAAAACAGUAAUACUAAAACCUCCAAAAGGCCAAGGUCGAAGUGUUUUCAUAGGAAAGUACAGAAAAAUGUGGAAAAGUAAGGUUUGGAAUUUGACACUUCUCUCCACCAUUCUCAGACGAAGAACAACCCUCCUUUCCAUCUCUCAUUUCCAAAGCAAUUCCACUUCACACUUUCCGCCUGCAAUUUCCAGAACUUCUAAUUUUGAUUUUCUCGGGAAUCCCAACUUUCCCGGAAAAACCUUCUGCUCGGAAUCGGCAGAGAAAUCCCAUGUCCAUAUCAGAUGCUGGAGUUGUGGUAACGUGGCCAAUGGGUCGCUGUUUCUCUUCUGUGACUCGUGUCGGAGCGUUCAGCCCCUUGAUCAAUCCGUGGACUACUUCCAAAUAUUCGGCUUGGAGAGGAAGUAUGAUAUUGGGGUUGAGAAUUUGGAGGGAAAGUACAAAGACUGGCAAAAAAAAUUGCACCCUGAUCUAGUUCACUCUAAAUCUAAGAAAGAAAGAGGGUUUGCUGCUGAACAGUCUGCUCGGGUAAUUGAUGCGUACCGCACACUUAGCAAGCCAUUGUUGAGGGCAAUAUACAUUAUGAGGCUUGAAGGUGUAGAUGUUGAUGAAGAAGAAACACUUGCAGAUCCAGAGUUGCUAUCUGAGAUUUUGGAAAUCAGGGAAGCUGUUGAAGAGGCAGCUGACUCUCAGGAGUUAAAUCAAAUUCAGUCUCAGAUGCAAGAGAAGCUGGAUCAUUGGUCAAACUCUUUUGCAAAUGCAUUUCAAUGCCGGAAGUUUGAAGAAGCUCUAAAUUCUAUCCGACGAAUGACUUACUACCAGCGUGUAAAUGAAGAAAUUGUGAAGAAGCUUUAAUAUAGGAUCUUGGUGGUCUAGCGCCCACUUUUGCGGUUGUAGAGUCAACAAUUUAAUGCCAAAAUUCACAAGCCAAUGUCUUCUGGAUAAUUGAUCUAUUCAAAAUUCAAAUGCCUGGUCAAGACUGCAUACUAUCACGUAAGACAAACAUGAAUAGAACCUCAAAAAUACAAAGGUCGUGGUUGAGGAUUUAUGGACAAAGCCAUAGAUGUUUGCCAUGUCAUGAGACUAUAUAUUUGUUCUUAUUGUAAUCCGUGGUUUUCAAUUAUUCAUCUGUUUUUUGCUUAAAUUGACACUGUUUUCUUUCCAGUGUUGCCAGUUGGUUUUUUUUAUGAUUUGGACAGGCAUACGGCAGUAUGCAUGUAUUUCUAUUCUUACUAAAGAAUGUUUGAUGUUUUUGUCAAAAAAAAAAGGAGAAAAAAAAAAAGUAAAAAAAUGUUUGAUGUUAGAAUAACAGAUGACAUCUUGCAUCGAAA